Non-coding RNA from Triticum urartu, 115 nucleotides. NCBI's taxonomy places the organism in Eukaryota, Viridiplantae, Streptophyta, Magnoliopsida, Poales, Poaceae. The record is from Rfam.
CAAUUACUCCCUCCGUUCGGAAUUAUUUGUCGUAGAAAGGGAUGUAUCUAGACGCAUUUUAGUUUUAGAUACAUCCAUUUCCAAGACAAGUAAUUCCGAACGGAGGGAGUAUAAC